GCACCGGUGGUGUAGUUGGUUAUCACGUCAGUCUAACACAACCCAGUUUCUCGUGUUUGAGUGAAUGGUUGUGGUGUUGAGCACUGAAGGUCCUGAGUUCAAGUCUCGGCCGGUGUA
Phyllosticta citriasiana is the source of this 117-nucleotide non-coding RNA. Lineage: Eukaryota; Fungi; Ascomycota; Dothideomycetes; Botryosphaeriales; Phyllostictaceae. The record is from the annotation of a GenBank genome assembly.